UCUGGUUCCAGGCAUCAAUUCGAUUUCAAACUCUAUCUCCCUAGAAGGUGGUAAACCUGACAGCUCGUCUGGGAAAACAUCUAAAAACUCUCUGACCACGGGCACUGAGGCGGGCUCUCUAACAUGACUAUCCAGCUCUCUCACAUGAGCUAGAAAACCCUGACAACCCCUCCUGAGCAACCUACGAGCCUGUAGGGCUGAUAUCAAACCUCUAGGUGUACCCCUCCUGUCUCCUCUGAAGACAACCUCUAACCCAUCCUGACC
RNAcentral lists this long non-coding RNA (264 nucleotides) under Manihot esculenta (cassava). RNAcentral's name for it is "long non-coding RNA (MESC_LNC007910)". The record is from RNAcentral. Lineage: Eukaryota; Viridiplantae; Streptophyta; Magnoliopsida; Malpighiales; Euphorbiaceae.